GAUGAACGCUGGCGGCGUGCUUAACACAUGCAAGUCGAACGGGAAACCUUUUAAUGAAGCUUCGGCAGAUUUAGCUGGUUUCUAGUGGCGGACGGGUGAGUAACGCGUGGGUAACCUGCCUUAUACAGGGGGAUAACAGUCAGAAAUGACUGCUAAUACCGCAUAAGCGCACAGGACCGCAUGGUCCGGUGUGAAAAACUCCGGUGGUAUAAGAUGGACCCGCGUUGGAUUAGCUUGUUGGUGGGGUAACGGCUCACCAAGGCGACGAUCCAUAGCCGGCCUGAGAGGGUGAACGGUCACAUUGGGGCUGAGACACGGCCCAGACUCCUACGGGAGGCAGCAGUGGGGAAUAUUGCACAAUGGGGGAAACCCUGAUGCAGCGACGCCGCGUGAAGGAAGAAGUAUCUCGGUAUGUAAACUUCUAUCAGCAGGGAAGAUAGUGACGGUAC
RNAcentral lists this ribosomal RNA (449 nucleotides) under uncultured bacterium. RNAcentral describes it as "bacterial SSU rRNA". It matches the Rfam family "Bacterial small subunit ribosomal RNA", at positions 28 to 478 of the family's 1533-position model. The record is from RNAcentral.